AGGGAAUCUUGCGCAAUGAGGGAAACCUUGACGCAGCGAUGCCGCGUGUGGGAAGACGGCCCUAGGGUUGUAAACCACUUUCAGCAGGGACGAAAUUGACGGUACCUGCAGAAGAAGCCCCGGCCAACUACGUGCCAGCAGCCGCGGUAAUACGUAGGGGGCGAGCGUUGUCCGGAUUUAUUGGGCGUAAAGAGCUCGUAGGCGGUUCAGUAAGUCAGAUGUGAAAACUCAGGGCUCAACCCGGAGACGCCAUCUGAUACUGCUGUGACUCGAGUCCGGUAGAGGAGUGUGGAAUUUCUGGUGUAGCGGUGAAAUGCGCAGAUAUCAGAAGGAACACCAAUGGCGAAGGCAGCACUCUGGGCCGGGACUGACGCUGAGGAGCGAAAGCGUGGGGAGCAAAC
Molecule: ribosomal RNA, 401 nt
Filed under: uncultured bacterium
Lineage: Bacteria
Description: bacterial SSU rRNA
Rfam family: Bacterial small subunit ribosomal RNA
Source: RNAcentral